RNAcentral lists this long non-coding RNA (370 nucleotides) under Malus domestica (apple). Its description in RNAcentral is "long non-coding RNA (MDOM_LNC009423)". The record is from RNAcentral. Lineage: Eukaryota; Viridiplantae; Streptophyta; Magnoliopsida; Rosales; Rosaceae.
GAGUGCCUCAGCAAUGGUCAAGAUUGUACCAUUGGACAACAUUAUAAGUGCCUUACCGUAUCCUUCGAUCAGGUUGGAUGGGCCUGAGAGGGUUGUCAGAGGUGCAUUCUUAGGUACGAAGUUAGUGAAAUAGAUGCGUUCAUGCAAAACAGUAUGCGUGGUUGCACUAUCUGCCAGACAACUAACUUUCCCACUAGUCAUACCUAGAAUGAAAAAUUAAUUUGAAUCGAUCACAUGCAUAAAAGUUUAUAAAAACAAGUAUCAAUUCAAAAUAAUUUCAUUUAUUCAAGGAAAAAAAUUAAUAUCCAAAAUAAAUCGCCAACUAAUAAUCCAAAACAUAAAGGAAAAUUGUUCAAAAUCAACCAAAAAA